RNAcentral lists this ribosomal RNA (253 nucleotides) under uncultured bacterium. Its description in RNAcentral is "partial 16S ribosomal RNA". It matches the Rfam family "Bacterial small subunit ribosomal RNA", at positions 524 to 776 of the family's 1533-position model. The record is from RNAcentral.
UACGUAGGGGGCUAGCGUUGUCCGGAUUUAUUGGGCGUAAAGCGCGUGUAGGCGGCCAGGUAAGUCCGUUCUGAAAGCCCGGGGCUCAACCCCGGGAGGCGGAUGGAUACUGCUUGGCUCGAGUCCGGAAGAGGCGAGUGGAAUUCCCGGUGUAGCGGUGAAAUGCGCAGAUAUCGGGAGGAACACCAAUGGCGAAGGCAGCUCGCUGGGACGGUACUGACGCUGAGACGCGAAAGCGUGGGGAGCAAACAGG